Long non-coding RNA from Cyprinodon tularosa, 2095 nucleotides. RefSeq lists it as uncharacterized. The record is from RefSeq and is a predicted model, not a curated record. The transcript has 2 exons. Lineage: Eukaryota; Metazoa; Chordata; Actinopteri; Cyprinodontiformes; Cyprinodontidae.
GGGAGGAGCUCAAAUGAUGGCAGGACCAUCGUCCAAAACAGCCGCAAACCUCACUGAGAGUAUCUUCACAUUCACCACGGCUCCAAAGGAUUAAAUAUCAGUUUGCAGCGGCGAAUAUGGGAAACACAACACAAAGAUUGCGGCUUUUUCUGAACCUCAGAGGUUUGUGUGGACCUUCUGUCUCUGUUUAGACAGUUUGCUGGAGGCUGCUAAGGCUGUAUGCAUAACUAAAAACAUCACUAAGAUGUCCAGAUGAGACACUCUGUGUUCAAUACUUUAAGAAAAAGCCAUCAGAUGUUUAUUUCUUUAACAGAACAGCUACAAAAGAUGUCAAAUAACAAUAGCCCUGUGCAAUAUGGCACACCGUUACAUUUUUAACUGCAGUGCAUUCACUUGAUGCAGGAGUUAAUACCCACGCCUAAUACAGAAUUUAGUUGCCGAGAUGGGGAUGAUGAUGGAGAGAAGAAGAAGAGCGGGGAAAAUGUGAUGCAAUCACAAUAAUGGACAAAAUGAUUGCAAUUUUCUUUUUCUAAAUAGUUCCUGAUUGAGGAACCCCCACCCCUUCAGCAGCUCCACACUCCCCUGAUCUUCAUGCACACAGCCCUGCUGGACCAGCUCUACCCCUGCCUGGCCUUGGAGCUGAAUCUGAGGAUGUUUAAGGAUGUGGAGAGAAGCGCCGGAAGCCUGUGUGAAAGAUGAAAAAAGGGGGGGCGAGAUGAAGGAGGAAACGGGGUCAAAGGUCAUGCACAGGAAGGCAUAACAUCCAUGUGAAGGGGUGGGUACCUGGGCAAUUUCAAAGGCACCGCAGCUGACGGUAGAGUUCGCUGCCUCUGCUCUCUGUGUGUGCCAGGCAGAUGCGCUUUGCAUCAGAGGAGGGGAAAAAAAGGUAGAAGAGACUGAAAACUGGACGCGCAGGAUGGACCAGAUUCCCAGCAAAUGACACACAGCAUGUUUCAUUGCUUCUCCUCCUCGUCGGUGAAACUGGCCGCCUCUCUUUGCAGAGCAGUAAUACAGGUUGUGAUGUGACGCCACAGGUGCUCUGGGGGGCCCCUUCGGAUUUCACAGAGAUAUGAGGUUGGAGUUUAUGAGCACCUCUGGCUCUAUGGAUUAUUCAGUUGCAUUAAAUGAAAAACAUAAAACUCCACAGACACAAAUACUUGAUUUAAAAAAAAAAAGAAAACAAAAAAAAACUAUUUUUUCUCAUUUUUCUUUCUUUUCACUAUAGAUUUCCUCCAGUUUGAGAAACGUUAAAGCUUGAGGAAGUUGUGCUUUAUUACUGAGAGACAUGGAGGUAAUCCUCAGGACGCAGAUCGAUACGGAUCAAUGAGCUCUGUAGUGUAACACACGUAAAGUAGCCAUCAGAGGAAAUUACACGGAGAACAUUGAGGCUUUUUUUUUUCUUUUUUAACAACAAGUGUUUGGGGGGAAAAAAUAAAAACAGAUCCGUUCCCUGCUGAGUGUCAGUUCUUUAAUUAAGGCACAAGUGCGCAUUCGGGGCUAAAUGGAACAGAAAGUGAGAGCGCGCGGAGCGGUGCUGGUAAGUAACGCGUCUUGGACGCACGAGUUGUAUUUAGAGAGGUUUAUUUGAACCAGGGAACAGGUGAAUUAUUCACACUGUAGAGAAGUUCCUACCUGGAAGUGUUACAGCCCCCAGCUCUGAGCGCUCCCAUGUCGGAAACAAACGCGCUCUUCCGCUGUAUCCAGACGCAGACGCUCCAGGAAAGAGAAAAAAUGCUUCAUAAAAAUAAAAAAAAAUCCACGAGGUUGUAAUAAAACAACAAAAUAACUUUUAAAAGGUGGAGGAAACAACCAUGACAGACAAGCGAUAUAAAAGGAAAAGAUUCAGAUGUGAAUCAAAGAAUCCAAUAGUUAUUCCUCCAGUUUCUCUCAGUUUGUGUCAGUCGUGACCAGCGCUCCUCUGAGGCGCAGCCGGACUCACUGACUGACCCCUGAAGGCUGCAUCCUCCGCUCACUGAGGGAUGAUGGACCGGGAGGUUUUGGAUGUGGACGCACCACCGGGACGGGAGAAGAAUCCCACCCGUUUCUCUCUUCCAAACACUUCAAAAAAAGUGUAAAGAAAAAAAAAAAAAAAAAA